GGACGACGUGCACUGCUACGACCCGGCGACACGGGCGUGGGCUGUGGUGGAGACCACGGGCGACAGGCCGAGCCCACGGAGCGUGUUCUGCGGCGCCGGGAUCGGGCGGCACGUCGUGGUGUUUGGCGGCGAGGUGGAUCCCAGCGACCUCGGACACCUCGGCGCCGGCAAGUUCUCGGCCGAGGCGUUCGCGCUCGACACGGAGACCCGCGCGUGGACGCGGCUGGUGGACGACGACGACAAGGCGGAGGCGGAGGCGGAGCAGCAGCAGCACCCCGGGCCACGCGGGUGGUGCGCGUUCGCGGCGGGGGAGAAGGAUGGCCGGCAAGGGCUGCUGGUGUAUGGCGGCAACUCGCCGACCAACGACCGGCUCGACGACAUCUACUUCUUCGCGCCCGUUCUUGAAGCUGCGGCCGCAAGCUA
Molecule: long non-coding RNA, 423 nt
Filed under: Sorghum bicolor (sorghum)
Lineage: Eukaryota; Viridiplantae; Streptophyta; Magnoliopsida; Poales; Poaceae
Description: long non-coding RNA (SBIC_LNC002065)
Source: RNAcentral